AGAAGGAAGUGAUGUCAUGUACGGACAGGAAGUGAUGUAGGAUAAAAGACAGGAAGUUCCAGAGGAGAGGUGACUUGUUAGGAAAUAGCGUACAGACAUUACUGGAUCUUAAGAAUUAUAAAAUAGUGGAGAUCCAUUAACACCCAGCAGCCAUCUUCUCAGGACAUCACCCAUCACAGUGCCUCCACCUCACUGCCUGACAACAGAGGUAACCAGUGCCAAGAAGAUUCUAGAAGUCACCAAGAAGAUAAUUGAUCUGCUGACAGGAGAGGUUCCUAUAAGGUGUCAGGAGGUCACUGUCU
Long non-coding RNA from Rana temporaria (common frog), 302 nucleotides. RefSeq lists it as uncharacterized. The transcript has 3 exons. NCBI's taxonomy places the organism in Eukaryota, Metazoa, Chordata, Amphibia, Anura, Ranidae. The record is from RefSeq and is a predicted model, not a curated record.